RNAcentral lists this ribosomal RNA (440 nucleotides) under uncultured bacterium. Its description in RNAcentral is "partial 16S ribosomal RNA". It matches the Rfam family "Bacterial small subunit ribosomal RNA", at positions 338 to 795 of the family's 1533-position model. The record is from RNAcentral.
CCUACGGGAGGCAGCAGUGGGGAAUAUUGCACAAUGGGGGAAACCCUGAUGCAGCGACGCCGCGUGAGUGAAGAAGUAUUUCGGUAUGUAAAGCUCUAUCAGCAGGGAAGAACAGGACGGUACAUGAUGAAGAAGAGCCGGCUAACAACGUGCCAGCAGCCGCGGUAAUACGGAAGGGCCGGGCGUUAUCCGGAUUUAUAGGGGUUAAAGGGAGCGUAGGCCGGAGGUCAAGCGUGCUGUGAAAUGUCCGGGCUCAACCCGGGCCUUGCAGCGCGAACUGGCGUGCUUGAGUCCGCGGAAGGCAGGCGGAAUUCGUCGUGUAGCGGUGAAAUGCUUAGAUAUGACGAAGAACCCCGAUUGCGAAGGCAGCUUGCUGCAGCGGAACUGACGCUGAUGCUCGAAAGCGCGGGUAUCGAACAGGAUUAGAUACCCGUGUAGUC